CUUCGGGUGAGUGGAUCAGUGGCGAACGGGUGAGUCAACACGUGGGCAAUCUGCCCUGCACUCUGGGACAAGCCCUGGAAACGGGGUCUAAUACCGGAUACGACAUGCUCAGGCAUCUGGGUGUGUGGAAAGCUCCGGCGGUGCAGGAUGAGCCCGCGGCCUAUCAGCUUGUUGGUGGGGUGAUGGCCUACCAAGGCGACGACGGGUAGCCGGCCUGAGAGGGCGACCGGCCACACUGGGACUGAGACACGGCCCAGACUCCUACGGGAGGCAGCAGUGGGGAAUAUUGCACAAUGGGCGCAAGCCUGAUGCAGCGACGCCGCGUGAGGGAUGACGGCCUUCGGGUUGUAAACCUCUUUCAGCAGGGAAGAAGCGUGAGUGACGGUACCUGCAGAAGAAGCACCGGCUAACUACGUGCCAGCAGCCGCGGUAAUACGUAGGGUGCGAGCGUUGUCCGGAAUUAUUGGGCGUAAAGAGCUCGUAGGCGGCUUGUCGCGUCGGAUGUGAAAGCCCGGGGCUUAACUCCGGGUCUGCAUUCGAUACGGGCAGGCUAGAGUUCGGUAGGGGAGAUCGGAAUUCCUGGUGUAGCGGUGAAAUGCGCA
RNAcentral lists this ribosomal RNA (602 nucleotides) under Streptomyces sp. YIM M 11139. RNAcentral describes it as "bacterial SSU rRNA". It matches the Rfam family "Bacterial small subunit ribosomal RNA", at positions 78 to 692 of the family's 1533-position model. Lineage: Bacteria; Bacillati; Actinomycetota; Actinomycetes; Kitasatosporales; Streptomycetaceae. The record is from RNAcentral.